AACGAACGCUGGCGGCAUGCCUAACACAUGCAAGUCGAACGAGACCUUCGGGUCUAGUGGCGCACGGGUGCGUAACGCGUGGGAAUCUGCCCUUGGGUACGGAAUAACAGUUAGAAAUGACUGCUAAUACCGUAUAAUGACUUCGGUCCAAAGAUUUACCGCCCAGGGAUGAGCCCGCGUAAGAUUAGCUAGUUGGUGAGGUAAAGGCUCACCAAGGCUACGAUCUUUAGCUGGUCUGAGAGGAUGAUCAGCCACACUGGGACUGAGACACGGCCCAGACUCCUACGGGAGGCAGCAGUGGGGAAUAUUGGACAAUGGGCGAAAGCCUGAUCCAGCAAUGCCGCGUGAGUGAUGAAGGCCUUAGGGUUGUAAAGCUCUUUUACCCGGGAUGAUAAUGACAGUACCGGGAGAAUAAGCCCCGGCUAACUCCGUGCCAGCCGCCGCCGUAA
RNAcentral lists this ribosomal RNA (449 nucleotides) under uncultured bacterium. RNAcentral describes it as "partial 16S ribosomal RNA". It matches the Rfam family "Bacterial small subunit ribosomal RNA", at positions 29 to 523 of the family's 1533-position model. The record is from RNAcentral.